Molecule: long non-coding RNA, 340 nt
Filed under: Fukomys damarensis (Damara mole-rat)
Lineage: Eukaryota; Metazoa; Chordata; Mammalia; Rodentia; Bathyergidae
Description: lncRNA (ENSFDAG00000028815.1)
Source: RNAcentral
AUUGUCGUUACUAUUAUACUUUGGGCCCACAUUUUAAUCAAAGAACAGAUUGGUUUUAUCCUAAUUGAUCCUGAUAUCUUAUUUGAAAUUUGUGUCCCUUCCUGUGUGUCUCUCUGUGUGUCAGUUAGCAUAUAUCAUGGCAAUUCAAUGGGGCUUACCUGUAUAAUGAAUAAAAAUCAGUGUCAAACCUGAGACUGAGCAUGUCUUCCUUUAUUGUUCAGGUAGGAUGGGCAGAUAUCUGCACUGAUCCAGCCUUGUCAUCACGUUUCUGCAUUGCCGGGUACUCUGGAAAUAAAGUUAUGACUGUGACACCUGUUCCAAAAGAAGCCAAAGAGAAGAC